RNAcentral lists this ribosomal RNA (2026 nucleotides) under Machimus occidentalis. RNAcentral's name for it is "SSU rRNA". It matches the Rfam family "Eukaryotic small subunit ribosomal RNA". Lineage: Eukaryota; Metazoa; Arthropoda; Insecta; Diptera; Asilidae. The record is from RNAcentral.
UUAAUGCUUGUCUAAGAUUAAGCCAUGCAUGUCUAAGUACAAACGAAUUAAAAGUGAAACCGCAAAAGGCUCAUUAUAUCAGUUAUGGUUUAUUAGAUCGUUAACAGUUACUUGGAUAACUGUGGUAAUUCUAGAGCUAAUACAUGCAUUAUAAACACGAACCUUUAUUGGAACGUGUGCUUUUAUUAGGCUUAAAACCAAGCGAUACUUAUUAGUAAAAUAAUAAGUUAUCGUUACAAUGGUUGAACUCUAGAUAAUUUGCAGAUCGUAUGGUCUUGUACCGACGACAGAUCUUUCAAAUGUCUGCCCUAUCAACUAUUGAUGGUAGUAUCUUGGACUACCAUGGUUGCAACGGGUAACGGGGAAUCAGGGUUCGAUUCCGGAGAGGGAGCCUGAGAAACGGCUACCACAUCUAAGGAAGGCAGCAGGCGCGUAAAUUACCCACUCCCAGAACGGGGAGGUAGUGACGAAAAAUAACAAUACAGGACUCAUAUCCGAGGCCCUGUAAUUGGAAUGAGUACACUUUAAAUCCUUUAACAAGGACCUAUUGGAGGGUAAGUCUGGUGCCAGCAGCCGCGGUAAUUCCAGCUCCAAUAGCGUAUAUUAAAGUUGUUGCGGUUAAAACGUUCGUAGUUGAACUUGUGCUCCAUACGGGUAGUAUAAACUAAAAUUUUGGUUCAUACAUUACCUUAUGUUAUGCGAGCGUAUUACCGGUGGAGUUUAAAAUAUAUAUAUGCUUAUAUCAUUAUUAUAAAUCCUUUUAUGUAUUUAUUUUAUGAUUAACUUAUAUAUAACUCCUAUUAAAAAAACCCUGCUUCAAUGCUCUUCAUCGAGUGUUGUUGUGGGCCGGUACAAUUACUUUGAACAAAUUAGAGUGCUUAAAGCAGGCUUCUAAUGCCUAAAUAUUUUGUGCAUGGAAUAAUGGAAUAAGACCUCUGUUCUACUUUCAUUGGUUUUUAGAUCAAGAGGUAAUGAUUAAUAGAAGCAGUUGGGGGCAUUAGUAUUACGACGCGAGAGGUGAAAUUCUUGGACCGUCGUAAGACUAACUUAAGCGAAAGCAUUUGCCAAAGAUGUUUUCAUUAAUCAAGAACGAAAGUUAGAGGCUCGAAGGCGAUCAGAUACCGCCCUAGUUCUAACCAUAAACGAUGCCAGCUAGCAAUUGGGUGUAGCUACUAUUAUGGCUUUCUCAGUCGCUUCCCGGGAAACCAAAGCUUUUGGGCUCCGGGGGAAGUAUGGUUGCAAAGCUGAAACUUAAAGGAAUUGACGGAAGGGCACCACCAGGAGUGGAGUCUGCGGCUUAAUUUGACUCAACACGGGAAAGUUUACCAGGUCCGAACAUAAAUGAGUAAGACAGAUUGAUAGCUCUUUCUCGAAUCUAUGGGUGGUGGUGCAUGGCCGUUCUUAGUUCGUGGAGUGAUUUGUCUGGUUAAUUCCGAUAACGAACGAGACUCAAAUAUAUUAAAUAGAUGCUUACAGGAUUAUGGUGUUGAAACUUUAUAUAAUCUUCGAAUUUUUAAUUAUAUAUAGUAUUUAUUAAAACGUAUUGUAUAUUAUUAAUAUUUGUAAGUAUUUAUAUAAAGUGGAGUCAUACCUGUUUGUUUGUCCCAUAAAUACGGACACUAGCUUCUUAAAUGGACAAAUUGCGUCUAGCAAUAAUGAGAUUGAGCAAUAACAGGUCUGAAAUGCCCUUAGAUGUCCUGGGCUGCACGCGCGCUACAAUGAAAGUAUCAACGUGUAUUUCCUAGACCGAGAGGUCCGGGUAAACCGCUGAACCACUUUCAUGCUUGGGAUUGUGAACUGAAACUGUUCACAUGAACCUGGAAUUCCCAGUAAGUGCGAGUCAUUAACUCGUAUUGAUUACGUCCCUGCCCUUUGUACACACCGCCCGUCGCUACUACCGAUUGAAUUAUUUAGUGAGGUCUCCGGACGUGAUCGCUGUGACGCCUUUUUUAAGGUUUUACGGUUGUUUCGCAAAAGUUGACCGACUUGAUUAUUUAGAGGAAGUAAAAGUCGUAACAAGGUUUCC